This is an RNA transcript of Xyrauchen texanus (razorback sucker), 6169 nucleotides long. It is a transcript of the gene named gastrula zinc finger protein XlCGF8.2DB-like, with no coding region annotated. NCBI's taxonomy places the organism in Eukaryota, Metazoa, Chordata, Actinopteri, Cypriniformes, Catostomidae. The transcript is spliced from 4 exons. The record is from RefSeq and is a predicted model, not a curated record.
UGAACCUUCAGUUGUUGAGAAACUUUUGUGGAUAAAAUCAGUUUUCUUCUCUUGUCCGUGAUGUAAAAAAAAAAAAAAAAAGUUAAGAAACAUUGUUUUUCUUGUGGAUUCCGCUUGUUUACGGAGGUUUCUCUGAGAUAUAUGAACAAGUUAAAGAAGAUAUAAUGCCGUGAGGAAUGAAAUUGAAUUAAUUGAAUUAAAUCUGCUUGACAUGCUGCUGAAGAUGGAGUUUGUUAAAGAGGAGAACGAAGACGUCAGUAUUUCAGAAACAUUCAGACUGAAGAAUGAAGAUACUGAGCAACAAAGGGACCUGAAGAAUCUGAAAAAAGAAAGUCAAGAACUCAUUGAAGGAGAAGAGAAGCAUCAGGACCAAAAACCUGAUAAUGCAGAAAAGUCUGAUGGUUGCUUACAGACUAAAAGGAAAUUAUCACUAAAUAGACCUCGAAGAAAAAAAACAAACAAAAAAUCUUUAAUCUGCCCUCAGUGUGGAAAGAUUUUCACUCAUAAAGGAAACCUUAAAAGUCAUAUAAGAAUUCAUUCUGAAGAGAAGCCUUUUACAUGUCAUCAGUGUGGAAAGAGUUUCAGACAUAAAGGAAACCUUAAAAGCCAUAUACAAAUUCACACUGGAGAGAAGCCUUACGAAUGCCAUCAGUGUGGGAAGAGUUUCAGACAUAAAGGAGGCCUUAAUUUACACAUAAAAAAUCAUUCUGGAGAGAAGCCUUUUACAUGCCAUCGGUGUGGGAAGAGUUUCACACACAAAAGAAUUCUUGAGGCACACAUGAGAAUUCACACCGGAGAGAAGCCUUUCAACUGCCAUCAGUGUGGAAAGAGAUUUAGAAAUAAAGGAAACCUUGAUCUUCACGUAAGAGUUCACACUGGAGAAAAGCCUUUUCCAUGCCUCCAGUGUGGCAAGAGUUUCACACAAAAAGGAAGCCUUAAUUUACACACAAAAAUUCACUCUGGAGAAAAGCCUUUUCCAUGCCUUCAAUGUAGCAAGAGUUUCAGAAAUAAAACAAUCCUGAGAGCCCAUAUAAAUAAUCAUUCAGGGGAGAUAUUACACCAUUGUUCUCAGUGUGGCAAAAGUUUUUCAAUGCUGUCCAAUUUAAAACAACACCAGGAAAUACAUACAGGUGUGAAAGCUCACGUGUGCUCAGAGUGUGGUAAAGCCUUUGUCCUAAUCGGCAACUUAAAACGGCACCAAAGAGUUCAUACAGGAGAAAAACCUUAAGUGUUCGUAUUGUGAAAAGAGUUUUGCUCAUCCAAGACUCCUGAUAACACAUGAGAAAGUGCAUACUGGAGAGAAGACAUAUGACUGCACUCAAUGUGGGAGGAGUUUCAGCACAUCAAGAACUCUACAGAGACAUUUAAAAAAGAACUGCCCAAAGAUGUCACAGUGAGCAACUUCAUCUUCAUCUUGAAUUUUUUUCCUGUGUUCCAAAUGGGAUUAAUCCGCCUCUGAAGGGGACUUCAAAGGAACAGCAAUCAUGACUGCCAUGUUUAAGGGGCAUUCCUACCGAAGUGCCUUCAAAAUGAAUGUUUCUGUCAAGUUCAAUUGAUGGACACUUUGCUGCCAAGCAGACCGGAAACAGACCAUACAUCAUAAUUCUGCAGGUGUGCCGAGUGAAACCAAAGCUUCAAUUACAAACAAGCUCUGGAUCUACUGUGCAUCCGGAAAGUGCAGACUUACAUUUUUCCACAUUUUUGUUAUGUUACAUCCUUAUUCCAAAAUUUAUUUAAUUAAUUUCCUCAAAUUUAUACAAACAAUACCCCGUAAUGACAACUUGAUAGAAGUUUUUUUUUUUUAAAUCUUUGCAAAUGUAUUAAAAUAAAAAGUGGUGGCGUAGUGGGCUAAAGCACUUAACUGGUAAUCAGAACUUGUAAGCAGAAGGUUGUAGGUUCGAUCCCCACAGCCACCACCAUUGUGUCCUUGAGCAAGGCACUUAACUCCAGGUUGCUCUGGGGGGAUUGUCCCUGUAAUAAGUGCACUGUAAGUCGCUUUGGAUAAAAGUGUCUGCCAAAUGCAUAAAUGUAAAUGAAAAAUUCACAUACAUAAGUACAUAUGUAUUCAAAAUUUAGCUCAGGUGCGUCCUGUUUCCACUGAUCAUCCUUGAGAUGUUUCUACAACUUGAUUGGAGUCCACCUGUGGUAAAUUCAGUUGAUUGGAUAUGAUUUGGAAAGGCACACACCUAUCUGUAUAAGGUCUCACAGUUAACAUUGCAUUUCAGAGCACAAACCGAUCCAUGAAGUCCAAGGAAUUAUCUGUGGACCUCUGAGACAGGAUUGUAGUGAGGCACAGAUCUGGGGAAGGGUACAGAAACAGUUCUGCAGCAUUGAAGGUCCCAAUGAGCACAGUGGCCACCAUCAUCCAUAAAUGGAAGAAGUUUGGAACCACCAGGACUCUUCCUAGAACUGGCCGCCUGGCCAAACUGAGCAAUCGGGGGAGAAGGUCCUUAGUCAGGGAGGUGAACAAGAACCCGAUGGUCACUCAGACAGAGCUCCAGCGUUUCUCUGUGGAGCGAAGAGAACCUUCCAGAAGAACAACCAUCUCUGCAGCACUCCACCAAUCAGGCCUGUAUGGUAGAGUGGCCAGACGGAAGCCACUCCUCAGUAAAAGGCACAUGACAGCCUGCCUGGGGUUUGCCAAAGGCACCCGAAGGUCUCUCAAACCACGAGAAACAAAAUUCUCUGGUCUGUUGAAACAAAUGUUGAACUCUUUCGCCUGAAUGGCAAGCAUCAUCACCUGGCCAAUACCAUUCCUACAGUGAAGCAUGGUGGUGGCAGCAUCAUGCUGUGGGGAUGUUUUUCAGCAGUAGGAACUGGGAGACUAGUCAGGAUCAAGGGAAAGAUGAAUGCAGCAAUGUACAGAGACAUCCUUGAUGAAAACCUGCUCCAGAGCACUCUGGACCUCAGACUGGGGCGAGGGUUCAUCUUCUAACAGGACAACGACCCUAAGCACACAGCCAAGAUAACAGAGGAGUGGCUAUGGGACAACUCUGUGGAUGUCCUUGAGUGGCUCAGCAGGAGCCCAGACAUGAACCCGAUUUAAAUGGCUGUGCACCGAUGCUCCCCAUCCAACCUGAUGGAGCUUGAGAGGUCCUGCAAAGAAGAAUGGGAGAAACUGCCCAAAAAUAGGUGUGCCAAGCUUGUAGCAUCAUACACAAAAAGACUUGAGGCUGCAAUUGGUGCCAGAGAUGCUUCAACAAAGUAUUGAGCAAAGACUGUGAAUGCUUAUGUACAUGUGAUUUAUUUGUAUUUAUUUUUUAUAUGUAAUAAAUUUGCAAAGAUUUCAAACAAGCUUCUUUCACGUUGUCAUUAUGGGGUAUUGUUUGUAGAAUUUUGAGGUAAAUAAUGAAUUUAAUCAAUUUUGGAAUAAGGCUGUAACAUAACAAAAUGUGGAAAAAGUGAAGCGAUGUGAAUACUUUGCGGAUGCACUGUAAAUACCAAAACAUGUGACCCCUGCAUCUCUGAGGUUUGUAAAAGCUUUUAAGAAUUGUAAUCAACUUUUUAAAUCAUUCUAAACUCCUGGCUGUUUGAUGAAGCUUGCAUUUCUUCAUAUGACCUAAAAGUUUUAAAGCAAUUAUUUUUGCUUUGCUUACUGAAAGCAGUUAAUAGUGAGGUAAAAUCUUGUGUAAAUAUUUCUGAUUAGGUACUUCUGAUGUUCUUUACCAUCAGCGUUGUGCAACAGUAACAAUGGCUUGUUUGACUUGGAUAGAUGACAUUAAAGUGCAUUAUGAAUAACAAAUAUUUUGGAACCCUCCAAAUCUCUUACUCUGGGGGAGUAAACCCUUUGAAAGAGUAAGGGCAAAGGGGUGAGCCCAUUGGAAUGGAAUGUUUGUGAAAUUUUUGCAACUUUUAAAGGUGGACUUUGUCUUAAAGAGACUACAAGCAUGAUAUGGUGUUGGAAGUCAACAACUCUUUAAGGAUGGAUGAAAUAAGGAAAAUAGGUUAUUUUGGUCAUAGCAAUAUGUCUUAUGUUUAAGGGUGAGAUGGGUCAUUCUUAUACCUAGGAAUUGGAGAAAUCUUAAAUGUAGACUGGUAGAAGUGGAAUAUGGUUAAAAAGUGAAUCCCAAUAAAGUUUUUAUAGAGACAUUGUCUGUCUGUUAUUUGAGAAUGUGCAUUACAUUUACAUUGGAUGUAAGUGCACUUAUUACAUGGACAAUCCCCCUGGAGCAACCUGAGGGUAUGUGCCAUGCUCAAGGACACAAUGAUGGUCAAGUUAGUUUUAUUAAUUUAGCGCUUUUCACAACACACAUAAUUUCAAAGCAGCUUAACAGAAAAUUAUGCUUUAACAGAAAAGCUGUAAUAUAAGGCACUUUUCUGCUGCAUGUUACGGUUCAACUCUACUCGCUUUACUUUUCUGAGCUUGCGUUUCCACUGCAGUUUAGUGCCGCCUCAACAUGGGUGGGAUUAUAGGAUGAUUUUAAUAGUUGUGCUGCCUCUACUGCCAUGACAUCAUCUUAAACAUGACACAAACUGACCAAAACAAUAACACGACCGCUAGCUGUUUGCUACUAGCUCAUUGGGCUUCAUAAAGCAGUUGUUGCAUGGCGAUUUUACACAAGUGUAACAGUUAAAUUGCCCUGGUUGUUUUAGAAGCAAGCUUCCAGUAGCUGGUCAACUAAAUAAAGUGAAGCUUUCAAGCAGAGUAUAGAGUUAACCUAAUAAAACCUACAAUCCUCCAUCGUGGAUCAACGCCAGUCCAAGGCAAGGCAAGGCAAGGCAAGUUUAUUUAUAUAGCACAUUUCGUACACAAUGGUAAUUCAAAAUGCUUUACAUAGAAGAGAUUAAAAUAAGAAUAAAAAAUUUUUUAAAAUAAGAGUAAUUGAAACAGUUUAGAAUAUAAAAUAAAAUAAAAUACAGUACAAACAGUCGGACACACAGUGGCACAGUGCUCAUUCAGUAAAUGCACAGCUAAACAGAUGUGUUUUGAGUCUGGAUUUGAAUGUGACUACUGUAGGAGCACAUCUGAUCUCUUCUGGAAGCUGGUUCCAGCUGCGGCUGGCAUAAUAGCUAAAAGCAGACUCUCCUUGCUUAGAGUGAACCCUUGGUAUUUCUAGCUGAUGUGAUCCUAAUGAUCUGAGUGAUGUGUUGGGUUUAUAUUCAGUGAGCAUAUCUGCAAUAUAUUGAGGUCCUAGCCCAUUGAGUGAUUUAUAUACCAGUAAUAAUACUUUAAAAUCAAUCCUAAAUGUAACUGGGAGCCAGUGUAAAGACCUGAGGACUGGUGUGAUAUGUUCAUGUUUUCUGGUUCUGUUCAGAAUCCUGGCAGCAGCGUUCUGUAUGAGCUGCAACUGUCUUAUGGUCUUUUUGUGAAGGCCAGUGAGGUGCAACUCACCUAUUGUCCAUUACAAUAAUCCAUCCAGCUGGUGAUGAAAGCAUGCACAAGUUUCUCUAGGUCUUGACUGGAAACAAAGCAUCUAAUUCUUGCAAUAUUUUUCAGAUGAUAGUAUGCUGAUUUAGUUAUUGCUUUGACAUGACUACUGAAACUAAGGUCUGACUCUAGAGACACACCAAGAUUCCUGACUUGAUUUUUAAUUGAUUGACCCUGUAAGGCAGGGUGCCAAUGUGUUUGCAUUCAAAGGCAAAGAGCAAAUGUAUGAUCUUUGAGAAAAUCAACAAACUAACUUUCUCGCAAUUAGCAACUCUUCCUGAGGCACCACACCCCACUGAGCGAAGACUGCAAAUUCACACCUCAUUGUUGCCCUUCCACAUCUGUCCCAUUCUCUCCUCUCUCCCCCAUUCAGCUCAGAAUCACCUAAGAUCUGUAUGUAACAAAAGUCUAUAUCUGAUGUAUACAAAUAAUGAAACUAGUGUAACAUAACAUGUUUGGAAUCAUUUAAAAUGUCUCAGUGCAUCUGGUAUUGUGCUCUUAUUCCCAGGUUUGUAAACUUAAUGACAACAAAGUUAUAAGGUCUUUGCCAAAUGCUUUAUAAUUCUGGAGGUAUGUCCCCAGGACUUCCAAACCUAACCACUCCCAAAAUCCCCUUUGUCCAUGGUUUGGGUAUUUAAGGAAAGGUGACACAUUGUGCAGGGCUCUCUGUAAUCAGACGAUCCCAAACAGUUUACUGUUUGUAAUUUAUAUAAGCUGAUUGCAAUUCGAAUUUCUUAUGUUUUGAUAAAAUGUCUAACUUUGACUUAUCAAUGUCUAAUUGGAAUUGAUGAAUUGAUUAUG